AUUGAACGCUGGCGGCAUGCUUUACACAUGCAAGUCGAACGGCAGCGGGGGCUUCGGCCUGCCGGCGAGUGGCGAACGGGUGAGUAAUGCAUCGGAACGUACCCAGUCAUGGGGGAUAACUACGCGAAAGCGUAGCUAAUACCGCAUACGCCCUGAGGGGGAAAGCGGGGGAUCGCAAGACCUCGCGUGAUUGGAGCGGCCGAUGUCGGAUUAGCUAGUUGGUGGGGUAAAGGCCUACCAAGGCGACGAUCCGUAGCGGGUCUGAGAGGAUGAUCCGCCACACUGGGACUGAGACACGGCCCAGACUCCUACGGGAGGCAGCAGUGGGGGAAUUUUGGACAAUGGGGGGCAACCCUGAUCCAGCCAUGCCGCGUGAGUGAAGAAGGCCUUCGGUUGUAAGACUCUUUUGUUCAGGGAAGAAACGGUAGAGAGCUAAUAUCUCUUGUCUAAUGACGGUACCUGUAAGAAUAAAGCACCGGCUAACUACGU
RNAcentral lists this ribosomal RNA (489 nucleotides) under uncultured bacterium. RNAcentral describes it as "bacterial SSU rRNA". It matches the Rfam family "Bacterial small subunit ribosomal RNA", at positions 30 to 506 of the family's 1533-position model. The record is from RNAcentral.